RNAcentral lists this ribosomal RNA (405 nucleotides) under uncultured prokaryote. RNAcentral describes it as "bacterial SSU rRNA". It matches the Rfam family "Bacterial small subunit ribosomal RNA", at positions 355 to 776 of the family's 1533-position model. The record is from RNAcentral.
UGGGGAAUAUUGGGCAAUGGGGGGAACCCUGACCCAGCAACGCCGCGUGAAGGAAGAAGGUUUUCGGAUUGUAAACUUCUGUCCUUGGUGAAGAGGAAGAGACGGUAGCCAAGGAGGAAGCCCCGGCUAACUACGUGCCAGCAGCCGCGGUAAUACGUAGGGGGCGAGCGUUGUCCGGAAUUACUGGGCGUAAAGGGCGCGCAGGCUGUAGAUCAAGUCAGCUGUGAAAUGUCUGGGCUUAACCCGGGCAUGCGGUUGAAACUGAUGUACUGGAGUGCUGUAGAGGCAAGUGGAAUUCCCAGUGUAGCGGUGAAAUGCGUAGAUAUUGGGAAGAACACCGGUGGCGAAGGCGACUUGCUGGGCAGCAACUGACGCUGAGGCGCGAAAGCCAGGGGAGCAAACGGG